Molecule: ribosomal RNA, 500 nt
Filed under: uncultured bacterium
Lineage: Bacteria
Description: partial 16S ribosomal RNA
Rfam family: Bacterial small subunit ribosomal RNA
Source: RNAcentral
GACGAACGCUGGCGGCGUGCCUAAUACAUGCAAGUCGAGCGGACUGAUUCUGCGCUUGCUCUUAUGUCGUUAGCGGCGGACGGGUGAGUAACACGUGUACAACCUCCCCUGUAUAUCGGUAUAACACCGAGAAAUCGGUGCUAAUCCCGUAUAAUAUCUGACUUCACAUGGUCUUAGGUUAAAAGAUGGCUCCUGCUAUUACUCCCGCAUGUUCCCGCGGCGCUUUUGCUAGUUGGUAAGGUAAUGGCUUACCAAGGGGACGAUGCGUAGCCGACCUGGGAGGGUGGUGGGCCACGCGGGGACGGGGAGACGGCCCAGACGCGGACGGGAGGCAGCAGUAGGGAAUCUUGGGCAAUGGACGAAAGCAUGACGGAGCAACGGCGCGUGAGUGAUGAAGGGUUUCGGCCCGGAAAGCUCUGUUGUUAGGGAAUAAAAAGUACAGAACGAACUAGGUAGGUAACUUGACGGUACCUAACCAGAAAGCCACGGCUAACUACGUG